GACGAACGCUGGCGGCGCGCCUAACACAUGCAAGUCGAACGAGAGAUGAGGAGCUUGCUCUUCAAAUCGAGUGGCGAACGGGUGAGUAACGCGUGAGGAACCUGCCUCAAAGAGGGGGACAACGGCUGGAAACGGUCGCUAAUACCGCAUGAAGUGUUCGGAUGGCAUCAUCUGAACAUCAAAGNUUUAUCGCUGAAAGAUGGCCUCGCGUCUGAUUAGCUAGUUGGUGAGGUAACGGCCCACCAAGGCGACGAUCAGUAGCCGGACUGAGAGGUUGACCGGCCACAUUGGGACUGAGAUACGGCCCAGACUCCUACGGGAGGCAGCAGUGGGGAAUAUUGGGCAAUGGGCGCAAGCCUGACCCGGCAACGCCGCGUGAAGGAAGAAGGCUUUCGGGUUGUAAACUUCUUUGUCAGGGACGAGUAGAAGACGGUACCUGACGAAUAAGCCACGGCUAACUACGUG
RNAcentral lists this ribosomal RNA (465 nucleotides) under uncultured bacterium. RNAcentral describes it as "bacterial SSU rRNA". It matches the Rfam family "Bacterial small subunit ribosomal RNA", at positions 28 to 507 of the family's 1533-position model. The record is from RNAcentral.